Molecule: long non-coding RNA, 1415 nt
Filed under: Medicago truncatula (barrel medic)
Lineage: Eukaryota; Viridiplantae; Streptophyta; Magnoliopsida; Fabales; Fabaceae
Description: long non-coding RNA (MTRU_LNC001482)
Source: RNAcentral
UAAAAUUUUAUAAUGCUUAAAUCAUUUAAUUAUUUUUAUAAGACCAUAAACUUUAUACAUUAUAAAGAGAUCAAGUCAUUUACUAUUAUUUAGAUGCAAAUAGAAAGAAAAAAAAUAUGGUUGAAACUUUAAAGUUGGUUUAUGUUCUGAAUCUAUUUUAUUCCAUAUUUCUUGGCAUAAUAGUAUGUAAUACUUCUCUAAUUAAAUAUUUUGACGUUCCUUGGGAAAAAGAUAAAGAUUGUCCAAAACCUCUGAGGUUUAAUAUUAGGUGUCGUAAAGGCUUCUGUGUACGGAUCUGAAACAUACUAAUGAUAUAAAUGAGUUCUUGCUCUAGCAAGAUAAUUGUAUGAUAUAUCUUAUGUUAAAAUAUUUCAUUUGUUAACAUUUAGAUUUUAUGCAUGCACUAAAUAUUUAUUCCUCCUCCUGCUCCUCAAUACUAAUUUCACAUAAUCCUCAUCUUGAAACCAUUAAUUCGAACCAAGUCUUAUCAAAUCCAUUGUUAAUUAUGUUUCACGCCUCACUGAGAUGAGACAAUAUGAAAAUAAUAUCAUGAAUCAACAAUAAGCAGUAUCAAAAAGAAAUUAAACAAAAAAAACAACAUUUUUUUAAUGUAAAAUACGUAUAUUAUAAAUAAAAUGGUGAAAUCUCAUGCAAGAGUACAACCACAUAGUUAAGUCAAAAAAAAAAAAAAAGAGUACAACCACAUAGAAAUUAGAGUACAAGAAGUACUAAAGUCAAGUAAUAAUAAAAAACAUAGAAUCCCACACAGAAAAACAAAAGUAAGAACUAAAACACCAACGGAAAACCAACUAAACUCCUAUCAAGAACCCUCAACCACAGGCUAAAGUUUAGAGUUCGACUCGACUUUUAGUUCGUCGAACUUGGUUCAUGAACCAAAUGAGUUGAGUUUGAGCUGAAAAUUAAAUUCGUUAAAUAAAUGGCUGAGCUUCAACUAUAUAUAGUUUAACUCAUUUGAAAGUUCAACUCACUUAGUUCAUGAACCGACUUGAUUACAAAUAUAUAUUUGCAACAUGUGGCAAAUUUCAAGGGGCAACAUAGAGAGUUAGCACAAAACAAGUCCCACAUGGAAGGUCUUGUAAGCUUACAAAGGUCAACGUAAAAUAAGCGCUUGUGUUGCAUCCUUCUACGAUGUUUUUUCACUGUCAUUAAAGUGACAUACACAUUCCAUUUUUCACUUGAACAAAGUAGUUUAAUUUUUUUUAAGUUACCACUAUUACGUGAGCACUCGGUUUCUUGAACCAAUUUGUGGUUUGGAAGUGGUUUUAGGGAAUUCUAUAGAUUUGUAUGUAUAUUUAAUAUUUUCCUUUUAAAAAAUAAUUAAAUUAAAUGGUGAAAAGAUCUAAACAAUUAUCUCUUUUUUUAGGGGUGAAGAUCCUCUCAAUUUGGCAAAAUAU